RNAcentral lists this ribosomal RNA (1607 nucleotides) under Salmonella enterica subsp. enterica serovar Blockley. RNAcentral describes it as "bacterial LSU rRNA". It matches the Rfam family "Bacterial large subunit ribosomal RNA", at positions 1223 to 2812 of the family's 2925-position model. Lineage: Bacteria; Pseudomonadati; Pseudomonadota; Gammaproteobacteria; Enterobacterales; Enterobacteriaceae. The record is from RNAcentral.
GUUGGGUAGGGGAGCGUUCUGUAAGCCUGCGAAGGUGGCCUGUGAGGGUUGCUGGAGGUAUCAGAAGUGCGAAUGCUGACAUAAGUAACGAUAAAGCGGGUGAAAAGCCCGCUCGCCGGAAGACCAAGGGUUCCUGUCCAACGUUAAUCGGGGCAGGGUGAGUCGACCCCUAAGGCGAGGCCGAAAGGCGUAGUCGAUGGGAAACGGGUUAAUAUUCCCGUACUUGGUGUUACUGCGAAGGGGGGACGGAGAAGGCUAUGUUGGCCGGGCGACGGUUGUCCCGGUUUAAGCGUGUAGGUGUGUGUUCCAGGUAAAUCCGGUUCACUUUAACACUGAGGCGUGACGACGAGGCACUACGGUGCUGAAGCAACAAAUGCCCUGCUUCCAGGAAAAGCCUCUAAGCAUCAGGUAACAUCAAAUCGUACCCCAAACCGACACAGGUGGUCAGGUAGAGAAUACCAAGGCGCUUGAGAGAACUCGGGUGAAGGAACUAGGCAAAAUGGUGCCGUAACUUCGGGAGAAGGCACGCUGACACGUAGGUGAAGUGAUUUACUCAUGGAGCUGAAGUCAGUCGAAGAUACCAGCUGGCUGCAACUGUUUAUUAAAAACACAGCACUGUGCAAACACGAAAGUGGACGUAUACGGUGUGACGCCUGCCCGGUGCCGGAAGGUUAAUUGAUGGGGUCAGCGCAAGCGAAGCUCCUGAUCGAAGCCCCGGUAAACGGCGGCCGUAACUAUAACGGUCCUAAGGUAGCGAAAUUCCUUGUCGGGUAAGUUCCGACCUGCACGAAUGGCGUAAUGAUGGCCAGGCUGUCUCCACCCGAGACUCAGUGAAAUUGAACUCGCUGUGAAGAUGCAGUGUACCCGCGGCAAGACGGAAAGACCCCGUGAACCUUUACUAUAGCUUGACACUGAACAUUGAGCCUUGAUGUGUAGGAUAGGUGGGAGGCUUUGAAGCGUGGACGCCAGUCUGCGUGGAGCCGACCUUGAAAUACCACCCUUUAAUGUUUGAUGUUCUAACGUGGACCCGUUACCCGGGUUGCGGACAGUGUCUGGUGGGUAGUUUGACUGGGGCGGUCUCCUCCUAAAGAGUAACGGAGGAGCACGAAGGUUGGCUAAUCCUGGUCGGACAUCAGGAGGUUAGUGCAAUGGCAUAAGCCAGCUUGACUGCGAGCGUGACGGCGCGAGCAGGUGCGAAAGCAGGUCAUAGUGAUCCGGUGGUUCUGAAUGGAAGGGCCAUCGCUCAACGGAUAAAAGGUACUCCGGGGAUAACAGGCUGAUACCGCCCAAGAGUUCAUAUCGACGGCGGUGUUUGGCACCUCGAUGUCGGCUCAUCACAUCCUGGGGCUGAAGUAGGUCCCAAGGGUAUGGCUGUUCGCCAUUUAAAGUGGUACGCGAGCUGGGUUUAGAACGUCGUGAGACAGUUCGGUCCCUAUCUGCCGUGGGCGCUGGAGAACUGAGGGGGGCUGCUCCUAGUACGAGAGGACCGGAGUGGACGCAUCACUGGUGUUCGGGUUGUCAUGCCAAUGGCACUGCCCGGUAGCUAAAUGCGGAAGAGAUAAGUGCUGAAAGCAUCUAAGCACGAAACUUGCCCCGAGAUGAGUUCU